Molecule: long non-coding RNA, 2051 nt
Filed under: Rattus norvegicus (Norway rat)
Lineage: Eukaryota; Metazoa; Chordata; Mammalia; Rodentia; Muridae
Description: long non-coding RNA NONRATT033969
Source: RNAcentral
AGCAUUCUUAACAACCUAUUAGAAUAACUUCUCUCUCCCUCUUUGCCUCACAAUCUUUGUCCUCAGCCAUUUUAUAGUCUUUGAUACACUUGCUAACACAGUAUUUGUACAGUCCCUUGAAUUGGCACCUUUAUACCAACUUUCUUAAAAUCUCCUUUUCUAACUCCCCACCAGCUUCUCUUCUUCUUGACCCUCAUUGUCAGAACCUCUCAGGAUUCAAUUCUGGUUCUUGGUGGGACACUGGUUCUUCCUCAUCCCAUGACCACUCCUCAUUCUGUGUCCUGUGUAACAAAGCCUCAUUCUGUGUCCUGUGCAAUGAAGCCUCAUUCUGUGUCUGUAACAAAGCCUCAUUCUGUGUCUGUGCAAUGAAGUCUCAUUCUGUGUCCUGUGCAAUGAAGUCCCAUUCUGUGUCUGUAACGAAACCUCUUUCUGUGUCCUGUGUAAUUAAUUGCAUGCUUCUCUCUCCAUGUGAAUGAAUAUGGAUCUUUAUGAAAGGACCUUUUGUUGUGGCCUUCCUCAUCCCUAAAGACAUUGUAAAAUAGUAAGUUGGUAGAUAAAAGUUGAAUUGACUCACUUAGUAUUACCUUACUCCCAGUACCUAGCACUGCUUAGUACUUCCUAGUACUCUUUGAACUCAUCCCCUCUUCAUUCAUUCAUAGAGCUUGAUUGCCAUUAUAGAAAUGCUACCAACCUUAGCUUAUGCCCUGCUAAUGUCAGUGUGCCACUGGAAUACCUACUCCUUCAACAGACAAGCCAUACACACAGCAAACACUGUGGCUCUUUGUCUGCCCUCUCCCCAACUGUGUGUUCCUUAAACUUUGGUCUUGAAUGUCAUGGACGUGGUGAUUCCCCUGGGAUUCAUGGAUCUUAUUUCAGAGACUCCUUUUAUGCGGGGUCUUAUAUCUGUGUAUGUGUACCUUCUGUUUUGUGAGAGGCGAUGUCAAUUAUUACCUAUUGUUGCACUGACUUGUAGGUAGAUCAGUAGGAGAUUUAGAUGCUCUUAUGCUGUGAGUUUGAUGUUAUUUCAUUAGCUGCAUGGUGUUUUCUGAUCUUGCAUUGAUUAGUUACUUUUUAAAAGUAUGAGCCAACAGUUCAGGAAUGCCUCCACAGUAUUCAAAAGGGAGGCAAUUUAAUGUUAUGAUCAGUUCUAGGUGGUAGUUCUUUAGAUUUUAUGUUUCAUUGGUCAUAAAAAUGUAAAAAAAAUGUAAAGGUACGAUAUUAAUAUAACUAUUAAAAUAACAACUGCUGCCUGUUAUCACUGUCAUGUAACAAAAGAUGUUUUAACUCCAAAAAGUAGGGGGCUAUGUGGUGACAGUAUGAACUGAAUAAACUAAAUGUUGUUAUAGAACUUUAUGUUAGAUGUACUCUUCUCAUUUUGCCUCGUAUGAUAGAACUUUUAUCAUACACCAGAACUGACCUAGUGUCUAACUUUCGACAUCUACCACUGUAGAUGUCAAACUGGCAUUUGUUUUAACAUUAAACCUUGUAAGAGGCUGGCAGUUCCUCUGGUGUUCAUCUAAUAUGCAGCAGACUGACAUUUAUUUUAACAUUAAACAUUGUAAAAGGUUGACAUCUAGUGUUCAUCUCAUAUGCAGUAGCUCAUAUUGUACAGGCGAAGUAGUAACCCCCCAUUUCACACACUCCUCUUACUGUGUGGUCCUACCAUUUCUAGCAUAGCAAUGCCAGUUUCUGGUCUCUCUUGAAUCCAGGGAGCCCAUGACUGUAGUUGAAAAUGGUCCUGUGUCAUUUCCAGUGCUAGGUUAUAAGAGGUUGGUUUGGCUUCUGCCUCAGUCUCUUAAGAUCCUGCCCUAGAAGCCAGUCUGUGGGGAGUCCAGCAAGGGAAGGAACUGUUGCUCAAGCCUGCAGCGCUGGCUGUGCUCUGCCCAGCUUAGCCAUUGCUCUCAACCUGCCCAGAUCAUGCAGUCAUCUUGGAAGUGAAUUCUCCAAUCAAGCCCCUGUUUGAUGUUAUGUGGAAUGGAGACACACUUUCUCUGCCAAGUUCUACCAAAAUCAUGAGCUUCUGAGAUAAAUAAAUGUUUUUGUUUUAAGCU